GUACUCUUGCAAUCGUGGCUGAUGCAGGCAGCAUCCUUCUGCAGAAGUAAAUUGCCUUGCCGAGAAAACUUUUUGUCUGAGUGCAGGUUCUUCUUUGUGGCACCGAGCAUUUGUUUCCAACACCAGGAAGCCAGCCCGCCAUCUACACUAACCAACCUAGGAAGCCAGCCUGCUGUCUACAGUGAUCAGCCCAGGAGCCUGCCUGCUACGUACCAAUCAGUCUGUUAUGGAACAAUCCGAAUGACUGAAUCACAGCACCACAGUAAUGAUUCUGCAACACUGAACUUGACUGUCCCAAGGAAAUCACAACUGCCAUCUCAAGAAAGCCUGUCUGCAGCAACCAUUCCAUGGUCCUCAAAGUCGUGGCCACCGGAGAGGCUGGUUUCAAUUCGCCCCCAACUCCGGCUGGAGAGAGUUGAGGAGGAAGGCAGCGGCCUGGGCUGAGUGGGAAAUGCCUGCACUGGAGGGUUGGUGGCCCCCAUGCUGGAUGGAGGCAGGAACGGGAGGCUCCUGGAAUUGUCCUCUCUUCUGCCAGAGAGGGGAGGCGGGCCGUCACUGUGCAGAAGCCCAGCCAGCACCGAGAAGGAAGUGGGUGCCUGUGGGACCCUCGCCUCUCUGCGGAGGGGCCUGUGGAAAUGCAGCCUGUGCCCUGGGCCAGCCCUGCUCCUAGGAGGGUCCUGCUGCCUCAUUUGCUCUCUCUCCCUCCUUCUCCUCUCCACUCCCACCUUUUUUUCUAGGAACUUUGAACCCUCGUUUUCACCCAGUCCCAUCGAGAAGCCAAGUGCUCCCUCCUCAGGCCAGAGCUCCCAGCUGCAGACACAGGUUCAGCCCCCAGCUGAGCGAGGAGCGGCUUCCAUGCCGGGGCCUGCCUCUCUGCCGCUCUCCACCGGUCCUUCGCAGCCGCUCCGAUGCUCUCCACGGGUCCUUUGCAGCCGCGUCCUGGCCCUGAGGCGGUGACACAGAAGCCCACGUCCGUUUCCUUUCUGCUUGCCUGUUUGUAGGGUUUUUUCUUUCUUAGUUUUGGAAUCUGAGUGGAAGGGCACAUGCUGUGGAUCAUAUUCUCCUUCUAGUCUCUCGGUUGCUCACGUGGGAAGAGAACCCCAGCGGGAGUGAUUCAGGAGGCGGGCGCUGCCACGUCCUGACUGCAGAGAACCUCCUGGAGAAACAGAAGCCAUGGGUCCUGAUGCCCGAGCCGGCGACGACUCUGAGCACACUGUGAGCAGAGAACCUCCUGGAGAAACAGAGGCCAUGGGUCCUGACGCCUGAGCCAGCAACUUACUCUGAGCACACUGUGAAGGGCGGCUGUGAAUUUUUCUUCUUUCUCAAACAACGAUGCAAUCAUUGGGAUCACUUGUCCUCCUGGGAUGGGUUUGUGUGAGACUGAUGUCUUCCGAAAAACACAGCCCCAAGGGAGUCGAGACGAUGUACCAGGUAGAAUAAGGCACAGGGGAGCCGCUUGACAAAUCAGACGACGGCAGCCGGCCUGCCUGCCCGGGUGAUGCCAGCGAGUUGUGUUUCUGAGAGACGAAGGAAGCCUUCCUUCCAGGUUUCCACGUGGAGCAGUGCCUCUCUGCGUGGUUCCUGGCAGCAGGGGAUGCCAGGCUGCAGUGGCAGAAUGUUGAGCUGCAUGGCCGGCUUCCACUCAUGCGAAGCCAGCAGCAACCCCCUCCUCAGGGGUGACAACCAGAGUGUCCUCCAGACACUGCCAGAUGUCCCCUGGGGGGAACUGUCUUUGGCUGAGAAUCACUGCUUUAGACGGAUGAUGAUCGUUUAAAUGGACAGUGCUGUUCCUGGCUCCAAGCAGUCAGUUCCCUCCCUCCCUGUUUACUUACAAAACAGCCGCAUCCCCGGGAUUACGAGUGAGCCAGCGGAGGUGUGACCAAAGAGAUGUCACAGUUCGCUUUUCUUUGUGAUCAAUACGUGGAAUGAUUUAGGGGCCUGUGUUAAAAUUACAAAUCUUCUAUAGAAGAUUUUGGCAGCAAAAUAUUUUAAAAGCCUACGAAAUAAACAGAGAUGGCACAUUCAGAGGCUCCAAAUCACAGAGCAAGGAACUGCAUCCACAGUAGCUUUUGCCUUCCUCCUCUGCCGCUGUUUUGACUCAUUGAUCUUUGGGUCUGGUGGAUUUUUUGUGUUGGGGAGAGAAGAGGGAAGAGGCAGGAGGGCCAUUCUCAUGGCAAGCUGAGGUCUCAGGGGCCGGGCUGGGAGUUAGGGGGCGCUGGGGUCCCACCCAGGUGGCAGGGCCAGGCAGGUCAUGGCACCUGCUAUGGUCGUGCUGAAGUCCUGGAGGCAACAACCAUUGUUACUUCUAAACGAUACCAAGAGGGAAAGAACACAUCCCUUCAACUUUUCCUUAAGGAGAUCUGUAAGGCAGGUUGGAAGAAUUUGAAGUCCUUCUGCCUUCGCAUGAACAAAAAUGUGAAGGGGGUUUUUAAAACUCAGAUUUGAUCUUUACAGUAACCAGAUGGAUUUUAUUUCAACAUGCCAGAGUUUCCACAUCACGUCACCACUGCACUUCAACGUGCUGUUCUUGAGGCUGUUUAAAGUUCAGCCUUGGCACCUGACAUGGCGCAUCUGUUUUAACUCCAGGCGUGGGGGCUCCUGGGGAAACGACGACUUCUGAUGCCUGACCACCCCCAGGCUGACGCCCUCCCUCCUGCCCAGGGCUGAGGCUGGACCCAGGGCACCUCCUUCGAAUGGCCUCUCUCUUCCUCCCUAACACAGAGC
Homo sapiens (human) is the source of this 2724-nucleotide long non-coding RNA. Ensembl annotates it as long intergenic non-protein coding RNA 1164. Lineage: Eukaryota; Metazoa; Chordata; Mammalia; Primates; Hominidae. The record is from Ensembl.